CGGCAACAGCUCAAAUUUGAAAUCUGAUCUCUUCGAGGUCCGAGUUGUAAUUUGUAGAGGGCGCUUUGGUGUUGGCUGCGGUCUAAGUUCCUUGGAACAGGACGUCAUAGAGGGUGAGAAUCCCGUCUGUGGUCGCAUGUCUUCACUGUGUAAAGCCCCUUCGAC
This 165-nucleotide ribosomal RNA is filed under the name Acrocalymma sp. Its description in RNAcentral is "partial large subunit ribosomal RNA". It matches the Rfam family "Eukaryotic large subunit ribosomal RNA", at positions 99 to 261 of the family's 3401-position model. The record is from RNAcentral. Lineage: Eukaryota; Fungi; Ascomycota; Dothideomycetes; Pleosporales; Acrocalymmaceae.